Molecule: RNA transcript, 1883 nt
Organism: Amphibalanus amphitrite
Lineage: Eukaryota; Metazoa; Arthropoda; Thecostraca; Balanomorpha; Balanidae
Gene: DENR
Gene name: density-regulated protein homolog
Exons: 10
Source: RefSeq, a predicted model, not a curated record
GUUUGUGUUUUGAAGCGAAGAGAGGACGGAGGCCGAAAGGUUCACUAAAAGCCGAGAAAGUGCCAUGACAGCGCCUUUGAACUACUAAAAUUUGGAGGAUCUUUUGUGUGAAGGCACGUUCACAUCACCAUCCAAAGGCAGUUUCAUUGCGAUUUUUGUUCUUGAUCGCGUUCAUUGCAAUCGAUUAUCCUUGACGAAUGUGUUUGUUUUUCGAUGAUUUGUGAACUAUGCGCCUUGUGAAGAAUUUCCGAUAGGUCGUCAGUAACAUCGAUAUCCUCAUCCUAUUGAGCUAUCUGCCGUCUACUGCUGCGCGUAGCGACUUUCAUAUCAUAGCCGAAACCGAACGAAAACGAUCACGAGGCCGCACCACCGCUCGCCCGUCUAUAAUCCGUACCGUGUCCGUCCUCGCCCGUGUCCGGCGCCUCCUGCGGUCGGGCAGCGGUGCCCCCAACCUCCCGCGAUGACGCUCUAUGACGGCGGUGGCGCUUACUCUGUGAGCGGCGGCGGCGGCGGCUGCUGCUCCAGUCUGGGACGCGUGACACUCAUGUUCAUCACCGUGCUGAGUACCACGUUCACGAUCGGGACGCUCAUCAUCGCCGGAUCGGCUCUCUACAACGUCUACAACCGUCCAGAGGAGUACUCUGUGGAUCACCGCGGCCUCGUUCAGCUGUGGCUGCUGGUCGCCGCCAGCGGACUCGCCGUCGCAACAAACGCCUGCGGGUUCGUCGGCGCCCUCCUCCGUAUCAGGUGCCUGCUGCUCGGGUACGCGCUGGUGACCGGUGUGGUGGUGGGUGGACACCUCCUAGUCACCCAUCUGCAGCGACGCGCCGCCAGCCGCCACCCGGACCUAGACCAGCUGCAGAUGGACGACGACCCGCAGAGCGUGUGGACCGUCGAGAUGAACGCCUACGCCGCUCAUGUGCUGAAGCGUGUCCGAAGUGAGACGAGUGACAACUCGACCCGCUCCGUGGAGCGUAUCAACAAGACGGUGAGCGAGCUGCGCGCUCAGCUGGCCCCGAACGCCACCACUGUGGCCGAGUCGGCACUGCGCACAGUCAACACCAUACAGUCCCUGUUCAAGUGCUGCGGUAAAACUGGCGUGGACGAGUUCAUCUCCCAGAACAUCACCAUACCGACCUCGUGCUGCGUGGACGCGGCGCACUGUAACGCCACGCUGCGGCGCCGGCCGCGACUGGACCUGGAGCGGGCCCGCGAGAUGUCUCACCCACAGCCGUGCGAUAAAGCAUGGCUGAGGUUGAGCCACUGCCGUCGGGUCCCCAGGAGGGGGUGGAAUAUCCUCUGACCCUUUACUACUGUGGCAACUGCACCAUGCCUUUGGAGUACUGUGAGUUCUACCCCCAGUAUGAAAAGUGCAAAGAAUGGCUGGAGCAGAAUCUCCCUGAUGAAUUUGAAAAGAUGAUGAAGCUGAACGACGGUAAGGAUGACGGCGACGACGAGAAGAAGCGACAGAAGCGCGGCGGCAAGGGCAUGAUGCGGGCGAAGAAGAAGGAGGAGGUGGAAAAGAAGAUCUGUCUGUCGCGCGCGCCCCGCGGCAAGAGGAAGUCGGUCACCGUCAUCACCGGACUCAGCACGUUCGGUAUAGACCUGAAGGUGGCGUCCAAGUUUUUCGCUAACAAGUUCUCGUGCGGCUCCUCGGUGACGGGUAACGGAGACGAGAUCGUGGUGCAGGGCGAUGUCAAGGACGACCUGUUCGACAUCCUGCCGGAAAAGUGGUCCGAGAUUGAUGAAGAUCUCAUCGACGAUCUGGGCGACCAGAAACGCUAAAAUUAACCACGCGACUGUGAUCUACGCGCAAUGUCUGCUUUAUCUGUUUGCUACGUGAAAAAAAACAGAACUGUUGUUAAUAAAAUGUCAAUGAGAAA